GCCUGGGCCCGCCCGCCCUCCGGGGCCCGGCUCCGCGCCGCCCUCCGCCCCGCCCGGCCGCCCGGCCUCCCGGCAAGAUGGCAACCCCGGCGGCGGUCAACCCUCCCGAAAUGGCUUCAGACAUCCCUGGAUCGGUGACAUUGCCUGUUGCCCCCAUGGCGGCCACGGGACAGGUGAGGAUGGCGGGAGCCAUGCCCGCCCGUGGAGGAAAGCGGCGUUCCGGGCUGGACUUUGACGACGAAGACGGAGAAGGACCCAGCAAAUUUUCCAGAGAGAACCACAGCGAGAUCGAGCGGCGGCGGAGGAACAAGAUGACCCAGUACAUCACGGAGCUGUCGGACAUGGUGCCCACGUGCAGCGCGCUGGCCCGGAAGCCGGACAAGCUGACCAUCCUCCGCAUGGCCGUGUCGCACAUGAAGUCCAUGAGGGGCACAGGGAACAAGUCCACAGACGGCGCCUACAAGCCGUCGUUCCUGACGGAGCAGGAGCUGAAGCACCUCAUCCUGGAAGCAGCCGAUGGCUUUCUGUUUGUAGUGGCGGCAGAGACGGGACGGGUCAUUUACGUGUCUGACUCCGUCACCCCUGUGCUGAACCAGCCCCAGUCAGAGUGGUUUGGGAGCACCCUGUACGAGCAGGUGCACCCCGACGAUGUGGAGAAGCUGAGAGAGCAGCUCUGCACCUCCGAAAACUCCAUGACAGGCCGGAUCCUGGACCUGAAGACGGGGACGGUGAAGAAAGAGGGACAGCAGUCCUCCAUGAGGAUGUGCAUGGGCUCGCGGAGGUCCUUCAUUUGCAGGAUGAGGUGUGGGAACGCUCCUUUGGACCACCUGCCGCUGAACAGAAUAACCACCAUGAGGAAAAGGUUCAGGAACGGCCUUGGCCCCGUGAAAGACGGGGAGGCCCAGUACGCCGUGGUGCACUGCACGGGUUACAUCAAGGCGUGGCCCCCCGCAGGGAUGACUAUACCCGAGGAGGACGCGGACGUGGGGCAGGGCAGCAAGUACUGCCUCGUGGCCAUCGGAAGACUCCAGGUGACCAGCUCUCCCGUGUGCAUGGACAUGAGCGGGGUCUCGGUGCCCACAGAGUUCUUAUCCCGACACAGCUCUGAUGGGGUCAUCACGUUCGUGGACCCCCGGUGCAUCAGCGUGGUUGGCUACCAACCCCAGGAUCUCCUCGGAAAGGACAUUUUGGAAUUCUGCCACUCGGAGGAUCAGAGCCACCUGCGCGAGAGCUUCCAGCAGGUGGUCAAACUGAAGGGCCAGGUGCUGUCGGUCAUGUACCGGCUCCGCACCAAGAACCGGGAGUGGCUGUUGAUCCGCACCAGCAGCUUCACGUUCCAGAACCCCUACUCCGACGAGAUAGAGUACGUCAUCUGCACCAACACCAACGUCAAGCAGCUCCAGCAGCAGCAGGCAGAGUUGGAGGUGCACCAGAGAGAUGGGCUGUCGUCAUACGACCUGUCGCAGGUUCCUGUCCCCAACCUCCCGGCCGGUGUUCACGAGGCGGGGAAGUCCGUGGAGAAGGCCGAUGCCAUCUUCUCCCAGGAGAGAGACCCCCGGUUUGCUGAGAUGUUUGCGGGAAUCAGUGCGUCGGAGAAGAAGAUGAUGACCUCAGCCUCUGCGGCGGGAACCCAGCAGAUCUACUCCCAGGGAAGCCCGUUCCCCCCUGGACACUCGGGGAAGGCCUUCAGCUCCUCCGUGGUCCACGUGCCUGGUGUGAAUGACAUCCAGCCCUCCUCGUCAACGGGCCAGAACAUGUCCCAAAUCUCCCGACAGCUGAACCAGAGUCAGGUGGCGUGGACAGGGAGCCGGCCGCCCUUUCCCGGACAGCAAAUCCCCUCCCAGUCCGGCAAGACUCAGUCGUCUCCCUUUGGGAUUGGAACAAGCCACACGUACCCAGCAGACCCCUCUUCCUACAGCCCUCUCUCCAGCCCAGCUACGUCCUCGCCCAGCGGGAACGCCUACUCCAGUCUCGCCAGCAGGACUCCGGGGUUCGCUGAGAGCGGACAGAGCGGCGGGCAGUUCCAAGGGCGGCCCUCGGAGGUCUGGUCCCAGUGGCAGAGCCAGCACCACGGGCAGCAGAGCGGUGAGCAGCACCCCCACCAGCAGCCCGGUCAGACUGAAGUGUUCCAGGUAAAUCGAGCGAGCACCGCCUUGUCGUAGGUCUCCAGAGGGGCAGCGUUCUGACCUCCUUCCUCCGUCCUUACGCCGCACAGCAGCCACGUGGCGCAGAACUCCCCAACCCGGCUCUUCGUGGUCACGAGGCUAAAAAGAAUUCUUGGUCGAAUAAGCGCGUGAAACGCUGGUUAAGCAAAGUUGCGCGGUUUCUUGACCGCAGGACUUAUCAGAGGCUUUUAUUAUAUUAAUGAAGACUGAGGCUAUUUCAGGCGGUAGGCGGAGUGCGUAUGCCUUGUUCCCCACAACCGCUCGUCCACACAGUCCUUUUCUCCCAGAGUGUCUCACGGGCCAAGAAUUUGAGAGAACACGCCUUGGGAAAUUUUCCACAGGGGAUUGAAAUACUGGCUAUGCCCAUUGUCUGGAUGGGCACUCUGAGGCCGGCCGAACUUGAAGGGCCUGUUACAAGUGAAGCUUCAGGACGCAGGCAUUUGGCCCCGCCCCCGGAACACGCACAGCCUUGCUCCGGGCCCUGAUAGGUUCACCCCACCGAUGGGCUCCUGUGCGCCCUGCGUCCUGGCUUUACAUAAACGCGGGUUAUGUCCUGAGGCUCGGUUUACCUGCUGGGAUGACCCCGCCCCCCCAGGGGGUAGCGGCUUCCGGGUGUGGACAUCUGAGGCCCCCCUGAGACCCCUGGGCUGCCCCAAGGAAGGACAUGCUGCCCAUGCCCGGAGACCCGACCCAGGGGACCGGCAACUAUAACAUCGAGGACUUCGCGGACCUGGGCAUGUUCCCGCCCUUCUCCGAGUAGCGGCGGGCAGAGUGCGGCUGGCGCUGGGCGGCGUGGCUCCUGUCGUGACCGCGCCACCCACGCGGGCGGGGCCCCCCCCCCCCCCCCCCCCCCGCACCCUGCUUGCCCCGCCCACCCCGCCACGGUCCCCCCCAGCAGAAAGCGUCUCACCCCCGUGCUCCUCCCCUGCACAGCGCCUCUCCGCUCUGGCCCCCAGCCCGGGGCCACCGACCAGGAGCCCCGGUAGCCGUCGGGGGGCCCGUUGUAUUUAUUGUACUUUAUCUGUGUGUGCUUGGGAGGCGAGCCGACUGGGCGCCGGGAGUCUGGUUGUGAAUAAUCUCCUAGUAGACGGUUUUCGCCUAUAAAACGUUCACCUGUAGUCCAGAGUGAGUGUCCGGGACCUGCCCAGGCCUCAGGAAUUGGGUUUCUUUCCGCCUUUAACCUCCGUGGGUGGGCGGACUCGGGUGCGGGGAAGGGAGGCCAGCAGGUCGCCUGGCCUGUGUUCUCCGCGCUGGGGCCGAGCAGGCGGGGACCCAGGGCCGGACGCCAGCUCCCCUGCCCCCAGCUCAGCGGCGCCCCGACUGGAGCGAGCUUGGCCCGGGGUCCCGGUGCCCGGCUGCGGUUCCACAGCCUCGCCAGGAGUCCUGGCCGGGAGCCCACUGGCUUUAAUGCGCCGGGCUUCUGAGAGGAAGCGGCCCCCUCCUCUUCCAGGAGGCCCCGAGGACCUGGCUGCCUGGUGAGCGCGCGCCCUCGUCCCCCCCUCCAGGCCAGCGCCUCCGGGGCUGCAGAGCCCUGGGCCUUAUGUGGAGGAGCGAGCGGGGAGGCGGGACGUCCAGGCCCUCUCGUCCGGUGCCCUGCCGUGCAGGCCUGCUCCCCCAGGACCGGCCCUGGUGGCCACGUUGCAUCAGUGACCUGGAGGGGGCUCAGGUGCGGACCCGCACGGGGGCAGGAACGCGUCCCACCAGGCCCCUGAGCCUUCUCUCCUCGGCCGGCUGGGGGGCCGUGGUGUCUGGGGAGGGACGGGGUGCAGGUCUGUGAGGCAGGAGGCUGGGGCUCCCGCUCCGAUUCUGCCACACUCGCCCCGGGGCCCCGAAUUCCUCAGGUGGUCUCAGGACGCAAAGAAGAGCCCGCUUCUGGAAACUUCUGCUGGCUGACUGAGCCGUGGUCCCUGGCUGGCUGCGUUUCCCCGUCUUCGCUGACCUCGCCCCCUCCCACGCCCUGUGUGCACAGAGGCAGGCUCUCUGAGCCUCUCCUGUCCUCUUCGUGACAGCCACGCCCGGCCCCGCCGUCCCAUGGGCCCCCUGACUCCCGCCCCCGGGAAAGCCCUGCGUCCCUCCCAGGGUCCCUCAGGCAGCCCUGCUCAGGCACCUGCCUCGGACACAGCCCACGUGUCCCUCCCCUGGGAUUCCGGAAGGCCAGGCCGAGUGGAGCAGGGUCUCAGCUGCCUGAGGGCAGAGUGGGCCCAGCGUGCAGGACGGGGCCGGGAGCAGCGUCUGUGCUGACCUCUGCGAGCUGGGCAUUAAAUGCCAGCCCCGCCCGGUGUCCCUCGGGGAUCCGCGUGGCCUGUCUUGCUUGGAGAGCUUCACCUGUAACAGUCCAAUGUGGGUAGAAUACCUUUGGCGAGCAGCCAGCUCUGGGUGAUCCUGGUUCCUGGACUCUGGGUUCACACUCACUCAGCAGUUUCUAGAGCAGCUUUAACCCCUUUGCGUAUGGCGGUGAUUGAUGAUUGAGUGCCGGGUUUAGGCACACCGGGGUCAUUUUACCCUCCACACACCCUCAGAGAUGGGGACAGGUGCCGACCAGGGGGUGGUGAGGGGCAGGUGCCAGACUGGAGUGGGGGGCUUCCCAGGGCUCACUCUGCCCGGGGCCACCUCUGCCUCCAAGCCUGAGCCGACCCCGAGCCGUGUGUGUGUAAUGUUUUCUGAGAAAGGCACAAAAAGGGCUUUUGGAUCCAAGAGCGGUUGCUCUGUGAAACGAAAACAGACUUUUUUGUGGCCUUUAGCCUGUGAGUUUGGCAGAAUCGGGAAUUUCGUAUUUGUUCCUUCUGUUUUCUGGAGGGAACUAGGGGAUUCUCUGGGCUGCGCACGUCAGGGGGGCACGCCAGCUGUGACCUGGGGCCACGCUGGACGCGGAGGGGACGCGGAGGGGACGCGGGAGAGGCAGAGCAGCCUUGCCCCGGCGGCCUUCCGUCCUCUUCUGUCCCCACACCAGGGCCUGGGUUGCAGACUGCCGCGGUCCGGGUCCCGGCAGGCGAGGCCAGAGGGGCCUGAAAGCCAGUGUCAUGCAAAAUGUCAUGACUCAGGAGGCACGGCCUCCCGACCCCCCAUCCUGCUUCGUCCCAGGGACGCCCACAGGGAGCCUGACUGCAGUCCGAUGGGCCGGCCUGAGCUCUGCGUCCUCUCUCCUCCACCUCCCGCUUUCUGGUUGUGAUUCUUGGAAGCCAUCAUGUGGCCAGUGGGAAAACAGGACUGGAAGGAUCUCAUGCCCCAGAGACUCUUCCCCCAAGGAAUCUUGAGGCCGGCCAGGGUAAGAGUUGAAGCCCUACAGGGCCUCACUGUCCCGCUUGGGAACAGGCCCGCCCAGCCAGCAGGGGACCCUGCGAGGCCCCGGCCCAGACGCCUCUCCCGCGGCAGACUCGGCCCAGCCUGGGCUGGGGCUUCGGCCGUGACUCGCUCUGCCGCUCAAACCUCCUCUCCCCUGUGAGACCCUCCCGGGCUCCCCCACGGAGCGGGCCGGGCCGUGGCUGCCUGCGCCUUGCGGGAGGACACGAAGCAGCCACGUCGAGGCUCAACCGGGACUUGGCUGGUGACUGUGGCCGUGGCUAGGGAGGUUCUAGAACACUACGGAUGUGUCACUAGGGAGCUGGUUUUGUUUCUAGCUAUGGCGUCAGGGAGUGACAGAGCCGUCACAAACGUCACGUUCCUCCUCUGCUUCCCGAUGUUUUCAAUCCAGCCCCUUUGCUGUUUCGUGAAUACCGUGCAGAGAGUUGGCGGGGGCGGGGCGGGGGGCGGUUCUCUUAGUCGGAACUUAAUCAGGGAGCGUGGACUCCAGUAAAGAGACAGUGUCUCCCCCAUUUAGCCACAUGUGACACAAGGGAUGGGGCAGGUCCCAGGAAAGUGAGUGCCGGUCCCCGAGCGCAUCAGCACCUGGGGGCAGGGACCGCGACAGCCACUCCCCUGGCCCGCCUGCUCCCUGAUGGUUGUGACCCGUCUCCGAGCAAGACCGAGCCUGCUGCCUCGCGGACGCUCUAGCGAGUCACGAGUCAGGACAGAAGUGCCAGAAACUACGAGUUUGGUCAGUACUUGCCAAGGGGGCCCGUUGUCUCCUCCCUCCGCCACAUCCCCGCCCCGCCUCGUGUACUGGGGGGCCACGAGCCACCUGGCUGUCCACCUGUUAUCGACGGCCGGGGGUCUGGGACAACGUGGAGAGGCAGCGCACCGCGGGGCAGGCACCUGUCCACUUCUAGAGUGCCCGGGUCUGGUGGCCAAAGCUAGUUCGGCGGUCCGGCCACCGGCCAGAGCCCGCGUGGGCGGCACCGACCGCGAAGACCAGGGCUCGCUGGGCCAGGCCUCUUCCUUCAUAGACAAGGGCUUCUCAGACGGGCGUCCGUGGACAAGUCGAGCACUUAAUCGUUUCUCUUGUAGCCUUUCUUCUUAUGGAUGUGAGCCGUGCUGUGGAUAAAUCAUCGUCUGUAUUUCUUGAAUGUUCUCUAUGACUAACGGUUAUUGAGUUGGUUGUGUAUAUGUAUAACUAAUGUAACUGCCUUUUAAAAUUUCAUUACAAUAAAAAUGACUUUGCU
This is an RNA transcript of Prionailurus viverrinus (fishing cat), 6703 nucleotides long. It is a transcript of the gene named aryl hydrocarbon receptor nuclear translocator 2, with no coding region annotated. NCBI's taxonomy places the organism in Eukaryota, Metazoa, Chordata, Mammalia, Carnivora, Felidae. The transcript is spliced from 20 exons. The record is from RefSeq and is a predicted model, not a curated record.